Molecule: ribosomal RNA, 371 nt
Filed under: uncultured organism
Description: bacterial SSU rRNA
Rfam family: Bacterial small subunit ribosomal RNA
Source: RNAcentral
CAGAGGCCCCAAGCGUUACUGAGAAUCACUGGGUUUAAAGGGUGCGUAGGUGGCGCGUUAAGUCCGUUGUGAAAUCCCUUGGCUCAACCAAGGAAUGGCUUCGGAUACUGGCGUGCUUGAGGCCGGUAAGGGUCACUGGAACUGACGGUGGAGCGGUGAAAUGCGUAGAUAUCGUCAGGAACGCCAAUGGUGAAGACAGGUGACUGGGCCGGUACUGACACUGAGGCACGAAAGCGUGGGGAGCAAACUGGAUUAGAUACCCUGGUAGUCCACGCCAUAAACGAUGAGGACUAGACGUUGGAGGGGUAAGCCUUUCAGUGUCGUAGCUAACGCGCUAAGUCCUCCGCCUGGGGAGUACGGCCGCAAGGUUG